AGAAGACUGAACAGAGUCUUGUCCCCUGAUUAGACUUCAUCUGGAAUAUUUGGUUCUGUUCUAGGUAUCAGAUACUUAGAAGGACAUUGACAAAAUGGAUUGGACUCAGAAGGCAACAAAGAUGGUAAAGCCUGACUUGUGAGUGCUCUACCCAGUUGUCUUCUUUAUCCGGAGUCUGAAAUAUUCAGCAGACCAAGCUCAGAGGAUUUGGGAAUGAAAACGCUCAGUAUAGGUGAGUGGGUUGAAAACAUCCUAGUGCGAGGGCGGCCCCUAUUCCCCACACUUCCAUCCGGCGCCGAGGACUUUGGGACCUGCAGAGGGCGCUGUUCACUCGUCUCCAGGUUCAUGGCUGCAGCCGGCAUAGAGUCGCGGGCAGCGCUGGGUGGCUGGAGGCGCCCUCUGCUUUCUGUGCUUGCAGCAGCAGCAGCGGCCAACGCCGCCGCCACCGCCGCCGCCUUAUGGGAGUGUGCGUGCCUCCCGCUCCCUCCCGCCCUCUCCCCGGGCUGUAAGAGAGGGCAGUAAAUCUGGAGCGAGAGACACCCGCUCUGCCGCACGUUUCCAGGCGCCGGCUUCCCAGCCGCCGCCUCCACCUCUACUGCUGCUUCUCUUUGUCCGGGGAAAGGAAGGAGGGAGGGAAGAAGGGAGGAGUAGUUGCUGCUGCUGCUGCUGCUGCGGCACCAGGUGCAUCCUCGGAGCUCUCCAUCACUCGGCGCCCCUUCCCCCGGGCACUGAGCCGCGCGCUUGGAGACCCGUGGCGGGGCGGCGGCAGCUUCCUUGGGUGGGUGUCCGCGUACAGGUUUCCAACAACUGGAUUGAUUGUCUACUAGGGAAAAUUGUCACCAAUGGCAGUAAAACUGAUUUUCCGGUGCACUGGGUAAGUUUUUUGUUUAUCAUUCCAUUCAUUGAUUUUUUUUCAUUCAAUUUUGAUUUUAAGUCCCUAAUCACAUUUUUUUUUGUUGAAGAGACUUUUAGGUGGAUUUACUAUAUACUGGGUGCCAUUCAAAUAAAACAUCUGGCCAUUAUGUUUUGUAAACCAAACAAAAAGAAACUGCUGAAAAUUAACUUUUAUGAAAGCAGAAUUUGAUGAUGUAUUCUUUUUUGGGGGAAAACACUAAAAUACUGACAGAAAUUUAAGUCCAAAGAGAUACUUUGGUAUAUGAUUCUAGAACUAGUUCUGCUUUUUUUUUUUGUUGCUGAUAUAUGAAACCAUUAGUAUGUGAUAAUAAAGGAACUGUCAUGUAGUGAAAGUGAAGGAAA
RNAcentral lists this long non-coding RNA (1257 nucleotides) under Monodelphis domestica (gray short-tailed opossum). Its description in RNAcentral is "lncRNA (ENSMODG00000031903.2)". The record is from RNAcentral. Lineage: Eukaryota; Metazoa; Chordata; Mammalia; Didelphimorphia; Didelphidae.